This 301-nucleotide ribosomal RNA is filed under the name uncultured bacterium. RNAcentral's name for it is "partial 16S ribosomal RNA". It matches the Rfam family "Bacterial small subunit ribosomal RNA", at positions 509 to 807 of the family's 1533-position model. The record is from RNAcentral.
CAGCCGCCACGGUAAAACGGAGGGGGCUAGCGUUGUUCGGAAUUACUGGGCGUAAAGCGCACGUAGGCGGCUUUGUAAGUUAGAGGUGAAAGCCUGGGGCUCAACCCCAGAAUUGCCUUUAAGACUGCAGAGCUAGUAGGUGAGAGAGGUGAGUGGAAUUCCGAGUGUAGAGGUGAAAUUCGUAGAUAUUCGGAAGAACACCAGUGGCGAAGGAGGCUCACUGGCUCAUUCUAGACGCUGAGGUGCGAAAGCGUGGGAAGCAAACAGGAUUAGAUACCCCCGUAGUCCCUGUCUCUUAUAC